UCCUGCUGCCCAAGUGCUUAUUA
RNAcentral lists this non-coding RNA (23 nucleotides) under Drosophila melanogaster (fruit fly). The record is from RNAcentral. Lineage: Eukaryota; Metazoa; Arthropoda; Insecta; Diptera; Drosophilidae. RNAcentral also lists the same sequence under 3 other names.